AUACGGAGGAUCCGAGCGUUAUCCGGAUUUAUUGGGUUUAAAGGGUGCGUAGGCGGCCAAUUAAGUCAGGGGUGAAAUACGGUGGCUCAACCAUCGCAGUGCCUUUGAUACUGAUUGGCUUGAAUCCAUUUGAAGUGGGCGGAAUAAGACAAGUAGCGGUGAAAUGCAUAGAUAUGUCUUAGAACUCCGAUUGCGAAGGCAGCUCACUAAGCUGGUAUUGACGCUGAUGCACGAAAGCGUGGGGAUCGAACAGGAUUAGAUACCCUGGUAGUCCACGCCCUAAACGAUGAUAACUCGAUGUUGGCGAUAGACAGCCAGCGUCCCAGCGAAAGCGUUAAGUUAUCCACCUGGGGAGUACGCCCGCAAGGGUGAA
Molecule: ribosomal RNA, 373 nt
Filed under: uncultured Sphingobacterium sp.
Lineage: Bacteria; Pseudomonadati; Bacteroidota; Sphingobacteriia; Sphingobacteriales; Sphingobacteriaceae
Description: bacterial SSU rRNA
Rfam family: Bacterial small subunit ribosomal RNA
Source: RNAcentral